AGGAUUAACGCUGGCGGCGUGCCUAACACAUGCAAGUCGAACGAGGUAGCAAUACCUAGUGGCAGACGGGUGAGUAACGCGUGGUCAACCUACCGUUGAGUGGGGGAUAACUAGCCGAAAGGUUAGCUAAAUACCGCAUACGAGUCUCGGGGGCAUCCCUGGGCCUUAAAAGGAGCAAUCCGCUCGAUGACGGGACCGCGUCCCAUUAGCUAGAUGGUGGGGUAAUGGCCUACCAUGGCUCCGAUGGGUAGCUGGUUUGAGAGAGCGACCAGCCACACUGGGACUGAGAAACGGCCCAGACUCCUACGGGAGGCAGCAGUGAGGAAUUUUCCGCAAUGGGCGAAAGCCUGACGGAGCGACGCCGCGUGUGGGAAGAAGGCCUUCGGGUCGUAAACCACUGUCGAAGGGGACGAGUAAUGACGGUACCUUGGAGGAAGCCCCGGCUAACUACGCGCCAGCAGCCGC
Molecule: ribosomal RNA, 465 nt
Filed under: uncultured bacterium
Lineage: Bacteria
Description: SSU rRNA
Rfam family: Bacterial small subunit ribosomal RNA
Source: RNAcentral